AGUACCACGGGACACGUGAAACCCUGUGGGAAGCAGGAGGGACCACCCUCCAAGGCUAAAUACUACCUAGUGACCGAUAGCGUAUAGUACCGUGAGGGAAAGGUGAAAAGAACCCCGGGAGGGGAGUGAAAUAGAACCUGAACCCCUGCACUUACAAGCUGUGGAAGCACAUUUCUUGUGUGACCGCGUACUUUUUGUAGAACGGGCCAACGAGUUACGUUAAGUAGCAAGGUUAAGCACUUAAGGUG
This 248-nucleotide ribosomal RNA is filed under the name Clostridioides difficile. Its description in RNAcentral is "partial 23S ribosomal RNA". It matches the Rfam family "Bacterial large subunit ribosomal RNA", at positions 411 to 660 of the family's 2925-position model. Lineage: Bacteria; Bacillati; Bacillota; Clostridia; Peptostreptococcales; Peptostreptococcaceae. The record is from RNAcentral.